This is a microRNA precursor of Oryza sativa Japonica Group (Japanese rice), 169 nucleotides long. It matches the Rfam family "MIR812 microRNA precursor family". The record is from Rfam. Lineage: Eukaryota; Viridiplantae; Streptophyta; Magnoliopsida; Poales; Poaceae.
AUUUAGUUUUUUCACUGAUCAUGUCUAACGUUUAACCAUCCAUUUUAUAUGAAAAAAUUUUAUAAUUAGUACUUUUGUUGUUAUUAGAUGAUAAAAUAUAAAUAACAAUUUUUUUUAAAUAAGAUAGAUGGUUAAAAGUUAGACACGGAUAUACGCAACUGUAUUUAAA